GCGGGCAUAGCUUAAUGGUAAAGUCCUAGCCUUCCAAGCUAGUCAUGCGGGUUCGAUUCCCGCUGCCCGCU
RNAcentral lists this transfer RNA (71 nucleotides) under Omnitrophica bacterium GWA2_52_8. RNAcentral's name for it is "tRNA-Gly". It matches the Rfam family "tRNA". Rfam says of the family: Transfer RNA (tRNA) molecules are approximately 80 nucleotides in length. The record is from RNAcentral. Lineage: Bacteria; Pseudomonadati; Candidatus Omnitrophota.